Triticum urartu is the source of this 783-nucleotide non-coding RNA. NCBI's taxonomy places the organism in Eukaryota, Viridiplantae, Streptophyta, Magnoliopsida, Poales, Poaceae. The record is from RefSeq and is a predicted model, not a curated record.
GUUGUUCACUGAAUAGAUUCUGUUUAGCACAAGUUGUGAUGGAUAUGGAUUUGCUACUAAUGAUUCACUAUUUCUAGGGUUCUAGAGUGCUAUGUGUUCUGCCUAUAUGGUGGAGUAGCUGUAUCUUAUCUGGCCAAGUUUUGGGUGCUCCACAUAAGCCGUGUUAGCAAUUGACCAAAAGUAAAGCCCUUGUGACUAUAUUUUUCACACAAAACAAGUACCUAGAGUUCCAUCUUCCACGCACUAGCCUAACUCAAUGCAGGGAAGGACAGUGGUGCCUCAUAAUGUCACUCCAUUGCCCAUGGGGGAUUAUCAUUGCCCCAGUGCAUGUAGAUGCAGGGGCAGGAGGGAAAGAUGCAAAAGCUCUUUUUAACCAGCUGUAAGGCAGUGUGCAAUGCAACACCUGCAUUAGUUAGUGGAUGAGGGCGCAAGACCAGCUUCAGGGUUUAUGGCUUAAGCCAAGAGGAGAAACAAAGGGCUCUGCAUAUGAAAAGAUACCAACAUUAUUGUUUCCAUGAAAUUGGUUGGAAGAGAAGAAGAAGAUCCAGAGAAGAUCUUAGUAAUAAGAUAGUUUUUAGGAAAAUAGAUAUUUAGUUUUAGGUCAUUUCUUCUAAUUUCAUAUAUGGAGUGCUUGUCUUUUGUUUUUGUUUUGACUUUGUGAAACUUGAUAACUAUGGAUGAAACUAUGUAAUAUUGAUGAAACUAUGUAUAUGUAUGGAUGAAACUUGCUACUAUUGGUAACAUGUGUUGGAUAUGCUAUAUUGGUACUAUGUAUGGAUGAAA